RNAcentral lists this ribosomal RNA (159 nucleotides) under uncultured eukaryote. RNAcentral's name for it is "partial small subunit ribosomal RNA". It matches the Rfam family "Eukaryotic small subunit ribosomal RNA", at positions 1296 to 1461 of the family's 1831-position model. The record is from RNAcentral.
AGUUGGUGGAGUGAUUUGUCUGCUUAAUUGCGUUAACGAACGAGACCUCGACCUGCUAAAUAGCGAGGCGAACCUACGGGUUCGUUCUCCGAUUAUACUUCUUAGAGGGACUAUCCUGCAUUUUACGAAGCCGGAUGGAAGUUCGAGGCAAUAACAGGU